ACGGAAGGCAGCAGUGGGGAAUAUUGGGCAAUGGGCGCAAGCCUGACCCAGCAAUGCCGCGUGAAGGAAGAAGGCUUUCGGGUUGUAAACUUCUUUUAAGUGGGACGAAACAAAUGACGGUACCUUAUGAAUAAGCCACGGCUAACUACGUGCCAGCAGCCGCGGUAAUACGUAGGGAGCAAGCGUUAUCCGGAUUUACUGGGUGUAAAGGGCGUGUAGGCGGGACAUCAAGUCAGAUGUGAAAGCACGAGGCUCAACUUCGUGUCUGCAUUUGAAACUGACGUUCUUGAGUGUUGGAGAGGCUAACGGAACUCCUAGUGUAGCGGUGAAAUGCGUAGAUAUUAGGAAGAACACCAGUGGCGAAGGCGGUUAGCUGGACAAUAACUGACGCUGAGGCGCGAAAGCGUGGGUAGCAAACAGGAUUAGAUACCCUGGUA
This 437-nucleotide ribosomal RNA is filed under the name uncultured Oscillospiraceae bacterium. Its description in RNAcentral is "bacterial SSU rRNA". It matches the Rfam family "Bacterial small subunit ribosomal RNA", at positions 341 to 792 of the family's 1533-position model. The record is from RNAcentral. Lineage: Bacteria; Bacillati; Bacillota; Clostridia; Eubacteriales; Oscillospiraceae.